GGGACAGCAAAUGGGCAGGAUGUUGCAUGUGGAUGAACAAUGCCCAGGUCUACUUUUAAAGGGAAGUUACGUUGGAAUAACAGAUAAUCACCAAAAGUGUAUUAAAGCAUCCAGUGUAAGUGUCCACGGCAUCAGGAUUCUGAGAAUGAUGAAAAAUACUACAAUAAAACACAUGUAAACUGUCAAAUUUGCAGUGCCUCCACAAACGUCUGCCUUAACUGGCAGCUUGUAGAGGGGGACCGAUAACCUCAACAACAAACUACCAGGUAUGAUGAU
Long non-coding RNA from Oreochromis niloticus (Nile tilapia), 276 nucleotides. RefSeq lists it as uncharacterized. The record is from RefSeq and is a predicted model, not a curated record. The transcript is spliced from 3 exons. NCBI's taxonomy places the organism in Eukaryota, Metazoa, Chordata, Actinopteri, Cichliformes, Cichlidae.